AUGGCAACGGCAACAAAAAGGGGAGGGGGAGGAGUGGGAACAACCAUGUCCACAAAAAGGCAGCAAUUGACUGCGCAGACAGGCUGGGAGCGGGCCUCGGGGGCCCCCCUGCCCGGGAUUAAACCCCCCUCGAGCCAGGCCUGGGAUGCUUCCUACCCCCGCCCCACCCCAUCCUCCCGCUCCAGUCUUUACGGUCGGAGAGCCAGGCUCAGGACGUUAGUGCCCCACCCCCCUUCCUGGGCCACCUCCUCCUGGGCACAUCCGGGACGGGGAGGGACUCCCGCCCCACGUUUUGCGGAGGACGGGGACUUGUUUAUUCGUGAAAAAGCAGCCCUGCCUGGGGCUGAGCUGGCUGUGGGCCCGAAAGCUGCAAUUCACCGCAGAAACAGCAGAUGGGAGCAGUGGAGACGCGACGGAGAGCAGCAUGGAAGGAGGAGCCAGCAGAUGGCAGUGCAGAGGAGCGAACAGACAUCCCUGCAGCGGCAGCUGAUCCCGGGGCUUCCUGGGGAAGUAAAUAGCGGGCUUUGGUGCAGCGAGGUGGGCUUCCCUGGGCUCCUGGCUUGCCCUAGCUGUUGCGUUCUCUGGGUUCCUGUAUUUCCCACCAAGGACGUCGCAGUAGAAGCUGGACUGAUUCUGGAGUCGGAGGAUCUAGGUUCAAAUCCUCCGGGACACUUACAACGUGUGUGACCUUUGGAAAUGUGUGUAACCUCUUUGGGCCUCAGUUUCCUCAUCUAUAAAAUGGAAGGAUUGGACAAGAAGGCCUCCAAGUUCUCUUUUAAUUCUUGGGAAGCCUUCUCAACUCUACUUCCUUGACCGAGCCUGUAUUUCCUCUCCAAUCAAUGGUUUAGCGAGCUGUGGGAGAGUGUACCCCUGUGCAAGUGGGGGGCAAUUCCCUUUAUGGCUAAUUUUGCUGUGCUGUUUAAUAAAGUGUUAUUUGCUUUGAAGUAGCUUGGCCUC
This 957-nucleotide long non-coding RNA is filed under the name Monodelphis domestica (gray short-tailed opossum). RNAcentral describes it as "lncRNA (ENSMODG00000041928.1)". The record is from RNAcentral. Lineage: Eukaryota; Metazoa; Chordata; Mammalia; Didelphimorphia; Didelphidae.